This 49-nucleotide ribosomal RNA is filed under the name Verrucaria margacea. RNAcentral's name for it is "partial 28S large subunit ribosomal RNA". Lineage: Eukaryota; Fungi; Ascomycota; Eurotiomycetes; Verrucariales; Verrucariaceae. The record is from RNAcentral.
UUCUUCUGGUUGACCUCGGAUCAGGUAGGGAUACCCGCUGAACUUAAGC